GCCCAGCCCGGACCCGCCUCCACCCUCCAGUGCCCUGGCGCUGGGGGCGUGCUAAAAGCAACAGAAAACAAAACAAAAACAAACAAAGCGCCAAACCCCACUCUCACCUCUUCUACUGGUCAAAGGUAAGUGUGAGUUCAGCCUCUCCCUCGUGCGUCUCUGACCCUUCUCUGGUUCUCUGGGCUGAGGUCUGAAGGAGCCAAAAGGGGCCCCCCUGAAAAAGAAAUUAUGGCCGCUUUUUAGAAUAUGUUUUCCAAGCAUCAAAAUCUCUCUCUCUCUCUCUCUCACACACACACAUAUAUAUACACACACACACGCACACACUUCAAACCCACACUUGCCAGUCUGGAAGAGCACUACCGAUGUGCAUGUUUCUGGAAGCAUUUCCUUAGCUAUUGGAGGAAAUGUUUACUAAUAUUUCAGGUUGUAGACACCAAUAAUUAUUCUGUGAAUUGGGGAGAGGGAGGGUAAAGGAAGACAGAUUCCUCUUAAUUUAACCCUUCCUCCCGUAUCUGAGUGUGAAUCCUACUUUCAGUCCCAAGUCCUAGCAUGGGCCGAAAAGUUUUCAUUCUUAUACUGAGGAGGAGAGAGAGAGAGUUAUCCAUUUCUGCGAGGUUUCCUGUGUUCCCACCCCUCACUAUGGAACUGGGGAAGUGAUUGUUUUGUUUAUCUAGACAAUUCAUGACUUAGUUUUGUAUGGCGUUUUGAAACUAGUUUAACCUUGAAAUAGGCUAUAUGCUUUGAGUGGUACAGUGAAAUAGGCUGUGUGCUUCUCUGUUCUCAGGAAAAGGUUGUUAGAAAUCACAAUGUUUCUUUCUAUUCAGGCAGCCUUGAGUUAGAGAUGGGCAUAGUAUGCUAUGAUUAUUGUGACUUUUAGUAAAGUCUGUUGCCUCUGGAUGUUUACUGUCUUUGGAGAAUGAUAGUUUUUUAAGAAAAAAAUUCAAAAGCUUAGGCAAAAAAUAAGUAUAGAUAGGUCUAGUAAGUGAUCAGUACUAUUAAUAUUUGCUUCUACUUUCUUCACACACUCUUCUGGGGAAAGAAGCCAAAGGACUUUUUUUUUACUGUCCCCGGAAUUAGUUUGUUCUAUCUAGGCAGGAUCCACGAGACAAUCUUUUAAAAUGGCGUCUGUUUUCUUAUUUGGUAUUUUCAGGUGGAUGGCAGAAUCUUUGAACUGCUAAUAAGUAAGGGGAUGGGGCUGAAAUGAAGAGGGAUCUGGUAUCUUUCCUCUGUGUUCAUCAAUCCAGGAGAUCUGAACAGGUCGUAAAGAGUUGCAGCUCCUCCUGAGGAUAAAAUCGCAAUUAUAACAAUAAAAACUAACAUGUGUUGAGUGCUUAUUCGUUGCCAGGUGCUGUGUUGCAACCUUUAUCGUCAUUUUCUCAUUUAAUUUCCACUGCAAUCCUGUGGAUUAGGUACUACGAUAGUUUCUCAUUUUACAGAGAAGGAAAGUAAGGAUUGGGAAGAUUUAUUUACUUGACCAAGGUUAUAACAGUUGGUAAGCAGAAGAGCAAGGAUCUGAAAGCAGGCAGUAAAAGAGAUAUCUUGAGAACUCAGGUUUAUUGUAUUGGAUUCAGACUGGUAGUAACUAAGCUAAUAUUUCAGGUCUCAGUCUUGUUUUUCAUAAAGAAAAGAAGAAAAUAUUUUCUUUUCCUGAAAUGAAAGCAUUUGAUCAAAGGGAGAUAUUUGCUUUUUAAAAUGUUUGUUAUGAACUCCCUACCCCCAUUUCGCAGAUGAGAAAACUGAGAGAAUGAAUCCAUUUAGCUACCAUAGCAAAGUGCAUAGCCAGGCCUUAAAACCAGAGUUGCAGAUCCAGGUUCUAUAUCCAUUCCAGUUAACCAUACUGCUGAAACACAAAAAGAUCCUUGGUUUUUCUGAAAAUGCUAAGCAGUAGAUCAUUAACAGCCCGAAUCCCAUAUUUCUCAGUGAGGAAGCUUUCUUUCACCUUAAUUGUGAAUACCUUUUUAUACUGAAAGGAUGCAAAUGUGGAAAUAGGGCUAUUCUCAGUGGUGAAUUAAAUGACAAAAAUGGCAAAAGACUAAAAUAACUACAUCAGCUUUGCUUGAAAAGCAGUUAAAGCAGUUAAAAAGAUAUCUGAAAGGCUCGUCUCAGUACCAAUUUAGUCUUCUCCACCCCCCAAGACCCAUCCUACCCUACUCCAGGAAAGCCAUUCCACAUUACAUUUAUUUCUGCUAGCUUUUGUUCACAAAGGAGUUUAACACUAACAAGAUUUUGGUGCUUUUCAUCUCCAUUCAUAUAUUUCUUCUUUGCAACGGUGAAUGGUUACAGUAAAAAUGUCAAAACAAACCUCUGGAAUGAACACUUUAACAGAAAAAAAUAUAUACAAUAUUAAUUGACCAAAGAUUUUUGACUGGCAUUCACAUUUUAAGACACACUUAUGAUGUACUGAAGUAAAUUGUGGAAAUUGAUUUACCCUUUAUGUUAAAGGUAGUUCAGGUCCAGAAUAUGUUUCAAAAAACGAUUUUAGGGUUCCUCCAUUUUCAGUAAGGCUCAAAGUAUCAGAGAAAACCAGAUGAACUGCCUUAAGUCACUGAUUGGGCUGCAGCCCAUGUCUUAGCUUUCUGGGUCAUUUGUGUGCAAAUUAUUUGGCCACAUGGCCUCCUGUCAUGCUGGGGAUCUGCGAUUUUUCCAAAGGUUUAAUUUACUUAAAUAUGAUUGUUAUUGUCAAGUUGGGAUUUUUUUUUCUUCUCACCUCUCAUUAAAACCCUUAGUAUCAAUAUCAGUUUUGAACUAUUAUGUUAUAUAAUGAAGCUUGCUUGUCUGUGUGAAUUUAUACCAUAAAUGCGUUCACAGAUUUUUAGACCCGAAGAAGGGCUUUUUGAAAUGAUCUAGUCUAACCCUGUUAUUUUACUGAUGAAUAAGUUGAUGUCCUGAGAGGUAAUACAGAAUUCUCAAGGUCACCCAUCUAGUAAGAGGAAGAAUGGGAACUGGAACCCAGAUUUUCUGUAUUCAAGCUCUAAGACCCAUGCAUUCUCACAGCAUCACGUCCCUACUUCUUUCAUUGUGAGAGAUUCAGUCACUCAUUCAACAACUAGUUAUUGUCAUGAACUUGGCAACUGUUCUAGGCAUUAGGAAUUCAACAGAGGGAAAAAUAAAACAAUCCUGAAAAAAGGCCUUCAUUUGUUGAAACAUAUUCUGGUGGUGGAGUGGGACAGAAUCAAAUGGCAGUCUUAACAGUGGCUAUAAAGACAUUUUAUAAAGACAUUUUUCUUAAAAAUUACCUUUAAUAGGUUAUAAAAUUCAAAGCAGACAAAAAUAUGCUGAUAUUCUUCUGCUUUUUCUGUUAAAGAAAUUUGAGGAACUUAUAAUGAAACCAAGUAAUGAAUCACUAAAUAAUGAAAUCGCCAAAUAAUGAAAUCACCAACUGGAAAUUAGAAGUAAAUGGUCAUAGCAAACCCUAACCAGGUAAGUAGAGCCCUCUCAGAUGAUCCAUCCAUGGACCAAGGAAGACUGUUUCCCAGAGUCUUCACAGGGUCUUUCUGUGAAUUGGGGAUUAAAUGCCUUUGAGAAAACAUAGACUUGUACAGGAGCUGGGAUAAAGAUAUAAAAAAGAGAUCGAAGAGGAAAUUAUUUAACAAGAUGUUUGACAUAUUUUCAAAUGUAUAUUAGACUGUCCUAGCAGAUGAACCAAAGAGCAAGAGAGCACUAUCUUGAGUUUAAGGCAGAAGCUUCAAGGCUUACUAUAAUUGGUUUUUGUGAUUAACUCAACUUUUCCCUUUUAGAAUAUGAUAUACGGUAGUCUUCCCUCAUCAAUGGAAUAAUUGGUGAGGGAAAGGUAUAAAUAAUUCAAUUCUGUAAAAUCUUGGGUUUUGUGAUUGUGAGAUGCAUUAAAAACGGUGUUUUUUAAGAAAAUAGAACUGGUUAUUACAAAGAGAACAUACACUGGGCAUUGAAAUGAAAAAUUAUCAAAUGAAUAGGAUGUAGUAACUUCCUUAAAACUGCCACUUUCCUCACAAGAAUUUUUGCCUAUCAAGGUUUGGACCAAUUGCCAAUUGUCUUAUAUCCAUAUUUGCCACUUGAGAGGAGCACUUUUUUUUCCUAGUGUUUUACUGUAUUUGACUUGGCAAUGAAAUGAAGCUCCCUCUCGGCAAAUAUACAGAAUGAAACUUUUGUUAAUUUGGGACAGGGGAGAGGAGGGUUUUGUCUGAUAUUACAAGGGGGAAAAGUGCAUUUACUCCACUGAAGUUUCUUUUGUACUGUUUUCUGCCAGUUUAAUUUUUAUUUUCUUUGGAGUUCUGAUGAUAUAUUAAUGUAACAGAUAUAGUUUAUAAUAUAAUGUGUUAAUAGUAUAAUAGUUUGGCUAUUUCAUAUUUUAGUAUUUUACAUGUUAGUCAUGUAACACAAAACAUGUAGGCAGGACUGGUUGAAAGAAACUAUUAGAUGAUUACUACAUAGCGAGGGCCACCCAAGUCCAAUUCACUGCAUGUGAACUGUUGAAGAAGUUUUGCAGAAUUUCUCUUUCAUGUUGUCAGAUGUCAUGUGGUGGUAUCAACCAGGUAAAUGAUUAAGUUGGAUUCUCUGGAGAGUCACUGGUAUAUUUCCUGCCUCCAAGCAUAUCUGAAACCAAGCUACAACUAUAGGAAGUGUUGAAUUGCAGAAAUGUGGUCGAAUUGUUAUCUCUACUACCUGUAUUAUGGAGAUUAGAAGUUGUAAGUAAAGAAGUCUGGGUCUUUUUCAACUUUUUUUUGCCCUGAGGCCGGCUGAAGAACUAAUAGCAUCCUCUCCCACCAUGGUCACUGAAAAAAGUAGCAAAUCUUAAAUAAAGGAAAACAUGAGAUCUGAGAUCUUUUCGAUCUGCCUUAAGAUUGGACAGAGUUUACGGAAUAAUUAUGUUGAAGCUCCCAAAUAAUGUGAAUGAGGUUAUCUUUCUGAAGGGGUGAAAGGGUCUUUGUGACCCACAUUCCUUUUGGAGCUAACCUGCUAAAAAAAGAAAAGCAGACAGACAGAAAGAGGAAAACAAAUCCUAUUUGAGAUGGAGGUUGAGUGACAAGAGAAACUUUUAGCCUUCAGAUAUGUUUGCUCUGCACCAGGUACAUAAUAAUAUGGUUUUUGGAUCUUUGAAUCCAUACUUAGCUAGGCAUUAAAUUCUAGGAAUAAUCUGUUUAUGGAAAAUAAAGCCAUUUCUAUUUGAAAACAAAUGGAACAAAAUAAUUAUUUUUCCCCAAAUGUGUACCCUUUUAAUUGAUCAAAUGCAUCCAGGAAAUUCUGCUGGCAAUUUGAACACUGUAGGUGUUGUUGCAGCUCUAAAUUUGUCUGCAAGAGGAAUUGUAAAUGGUAUUUACCUUUUAAUUAAACAAAGCAUCUUGCAAAUUAAACACAUGUUCUUGCACAUCAAAAUUUAGUUAACAUCCUUUUCAUUGUUCAUCCUGCUGACACUCUGACAGCAUCGUGAGUCCACACACAAUAUAGAGUCAUGCUGCUCCCCCCUUCCCUGCACUUUGCAUUCCUCAGAGUAGAUGAUAUCACAUGCUAGAGUACCCUCUGUAACUGACUUCUAAUAACUGAGCAGCUUUUCCCAUUUAAUAUACUUAAUAUUGUGUAAAAUAUGGGACUGCAUUGGUGUGUCCAGAACCUGGAAAGCUUUGGACACUGAUCUGACAUAUGUCUUAUAAUCUUACACUGAAAAUUUGACAGUGAAUGACAGAACACCUUAGAGGAAUAUAAGAAACUGAUAAAGGCAGAAGCACUGCACGUGAAUGCAGAGUAUGGUUUCUAAUAGCUACAUACUUUUUUACAUGCAUACCAGUAAUUUGACAUUUAUAAUUCACGGUGGAGCUGAAUUUCUGUCAUUUUCUUACUGUCAAGUCCUCCACAUUUUGAAAUAAAUGUCCCUUCUAAUUAUUAUACGAAUUUGAACUCCAACAUUCAAUUUUUUCCCCUGUCCCUUAUAAUGGAGUACUACAUUUAGCUGAAGUCUGAUUUGCAAGACCAGUUAGGAAGUGUGAUCAUUUCAAACGUAUUCCCACAAACUAUACAUGGGAACCCCUUUCUUGAUUGUAGUCUGUCUUACUUAUAAAAGUACAGUUUAAAACCCAUCUAUCAGUACUAUUUCUAAGAAAAUAAGGUUGCUAAUGGCAGAAUGAAACUGAGAUAAUUGGGAUAUGGUCUUAAUGGAACAAAAGUCAGAGAGAGGUUUUUCAAUAAAGCAAAAUUGUCGUUAACGACUGUCAUUCAGUUGCACCGGUGCUCAUUAAUCUCUUUUAUUUCUGUUUAUUUAUGGUUUAUAUAAUUGAAAUAAAGUCAUUUGCUUAGAACAUUGCCAAAGGAGAAAUGUUUCCUGCUUUGAAAAGAGACAACUCAGAAUAAUAGUUAAAUAAAAUCCAGGGUGAAAUGAAGUCUUCCUUAGCAUUAUGGUACCUCUGAGAUUUUCCUUUUAAAAGUUGAGGGAUUAUUUUCACUGUUAGUGUUUACUUUUAAGGUUCAGGCAGCUAGCAUGUUGAAGAGAUGCUACUCAUGUCAGAAAUUGCUUUGAGGCACAGAAAUGAUUGGUAUGGAUAUGGGUGGAAGAGAGGGAGGGCAGCCCUUUAGUGUCAUCUGAAAAAAGCUUUCGUUCAAAAAAAUAAAAUACCUCAUCCUAACCAAACUUUAAAAAACAGAAGUAAAUGAUAAAAGUACACUUUUUGAAAAUACUGACUUUUAUGUUUUAAAUAGGUAUUUAAUUAUUUUCAGUGGGAUGAUUGUUGUUUGUUGAUUAAAAUAAGCUUUUAUGCAAAAAAAUAGGAUGUCCCUUUUUGAUUUCAAAAAAUGAACAGAAUGUGGAUGAUGAACACACAAAUAGGACUUAGAAUCAUCAAACUAAUUUCCCUAGAUUUAGAUAAGACCAAAGAUUAGAGACUUUGGUUAGUCACUAAAUUUUAAAAUAUUAUUUGCAUUUAUACCAGCAUAACUUCUGUUGCCUUGUUUAAACAUUUCACAAUUUAACUGGAUACAAUUUUCCAACUAUAUAGAAAAUCUAUGCCAGCCAACAAGUUUCAGAAAUAUCGAUUGGAAUUUUCACUGAUGUGUAAAAUGUGCCUGAACUCUAGAUGUAAGAUUUUCCUUUUGAAAAAAAAAUUUGAAGUUUGAUAUUGAUCCUUGUGCCACUUGGUUUUCUCUAGGCUUAUACAAGAUAAAGCAAUGAUUAAACUCUUUGUAGAACCAUCCAAUGUGUAUAAUUUUUACAGUUGAUAUGUAAGACUUCUUUUAGAGUAAUUUUUAUGAUAUAUUUAAUAAUGUGAUCCCAAGAUAUUUUGUAUAUCAAUUUCCAGAAAGAUAAAUGAGAAUGUUUUUUAAAAAUAAGCAGAACUUUCAUCAUUGCUGACAAAAUGGCCGGUGCCUCUUUAGUUCUUGCUAAAUGCCAGUCACUGUGCUGAAUAUAGGACACAUCUUAUCCCGUUGCAUCUUACAGCAACCCCACAUGAAAUUACUCUGAGAGAACUAAGACUACAGAGACUGAAAUGCCUUGUUCAAAGUCUCCCAUCUAGUAAAAAAAAGUAGAGACUGGUUUCAAAUCAAGUUCUGAUUUAUGAGGGAAGGCUCUUAUAUACAACGCAGUGUGGCUUUUUCACAAUUCUCAUUUAUGGAACACUUACCAUGUGUCAGAUGCUGUACUUAAUACUUUACAGGUUGAAAAUGUAUCUUGUUUAGCACCAAAUCUAAAUCAUAGAUCUAAGACAAAGAUUUUGACUAAAAGGCACUUCUGAGCUUAGGCUAAGUGUAGAAGUGGAAGGGUGUACAGGUAGGUUCAACCUAAAAUGAAACAGCAAAGUGGGCCAAUGUGUCAUCAACUCCUUUUCCUAUCUACUUCCAUUCUUUUCCUCAAGUUUGCUUCUCAUUUCUAUAGAACCAACUCAUGGAAGAAGGGACUCCUGGCAAAAUUUGUGUCUGACUAGGCAUGUCUGAAAAACUAAACAGAAGUCAAGCUUUAAAGAACAAGAUUCAUUUGUGCAUUCAUUCAUUCCUUUAUUUUAUUUUAUUUUUGAGAUGGAGUCUUGCUUUGUCACCAGGCUGGAGUGCAGUGGCGUGAUAUUGGCUCACUGCAAUCUUCGCUUCCCGGGUUCAAGCAAUUCUCCUGCCUCAGCCUCCCAAGUAGCUGGGACUACAGGUGCGCACCACCAUGCCCAGCUAAUUUUUGUAUUUUUAGUAGAGACGGGGUUUCACCAUGUUGGCCAGGAUGGUCUCAAUCUCUUGACCUCAUGAUCUUCCCACCUCAGCCUCCCAAAGUGCUGGGGUUACACAUGUGAGCCACUGGGCCUGGCCUCAUUCCUUCAUUUUAAAGUAUGAAAGUGAUGUGAGGAACAGAGAAAAUCCUAUAAAUUACAUAGUUCAAGGAUGGGAAAUUGGAAGCCCUCCAAAUUGGGCUCACAUAUGUGGUUCCCCCCCACCAAUAUAUUAUAUUUCAAAAAAUUGAAUUUGAAUGCCUUUAGCUGGGGCAUAGAGUAUCCAGUACAGCAUGAUCCCUCACCACUCUUAGCAAUUCUCAUCCUCGUUUCACAUAUUCUCCACUUGGUUCUUAAAAUCAUCCGGAGUUCAUGACUAUGUUGGAGAUAUCCCAAUACUGAAAGUUUUUGAGAAGGUUAACUCAGAAUAAGAUUAUUUCUCCAAGUCAAUGCUGUCUUUUUCUUUUCAAUGCCUAGUUCAGUGCUUGGUGGAUAGGAAGCUCAAUAACUAGUUAUUGAAUGAAUGAAUGAAUGAAUGAGACAGAUUGACUCCUAGCAUCCAAGUGUCCUCUAUCCCAAUCCAGUGUUUGUUUCAUUUUGUCACUUAAUCCUCAGGAGGAGUGGGGCAACGUCUCUACUUUUUUGUGCAGGAAAUUUAGCUCUAUCUUUCAGCACAUGAUUGUACUCUUUUUGCCUAAAUCAAAUGAGGCCGAAACUAACAGCAGUUCAGCCAAAGGAGAUUCAUUCAAAGGUUGGCUUCAAAUUGAAAUCAUGUAAAAACAUAACAACCAAAUGUACAGUACUUUCCAGAAGACCUAGAAAAUCACACUUACUUCCAAUCAAGUCAUAAUUCUUGAUGUAGUACAUUAUCUUCAUCCCUGUGAUUGAAAGGGACAGAGACGCGUCAGACAAAGUAGAUAUCUCUGCCAGACAUAUGGAGAAUGUUUCUGGAGUUUGUAGAAACCUUUAGAUUGAACCAAUUUUAUGUCCAAACAUUCAGAAGAAAAAAGUGAAUAACUGGGCCAUUUAUCUUUCUCUAUGAUUAAUCAUGCUAUACCCAUAUCUGGCCAUUUAGAAGAAAAACUAUUUCUUUAUUCAGCAUUCAUGUGUAUAUAUACUGUGAUAUAGCUUAGGGCUGAUUCUUCUGUUAUUGUUAUUGUGUGUCAGCCAUAUGACUACUCUAGAGAACCUUGGGUUGCUCAUUAGGAUAAUUGUGUAGAGUAAUAGAAAGUUGGUAAUUUUGAUCAGGAAAUCAAGUGUUUUUAAGGCAGAAACCAUGUUGCCACAGGAAUGAUAGAUAAACUUGUUGGGCAUGUCAGUUGUACAAAGUCAAGGCAGACUAUUAUGUCUAGUGUUGGACCAAGACAGACCCUCAUAUGCCACUAACCAUUUGCAUGAUCACCACAUUCCAUACUUCUUCAAAGCCUUCAAGACUCUGUAUUUUCUGAGGACCAAUUUCAAAAUCCUGAGCAUAUCAGCCAAGUCUCCCCAUGGUAGUGCUCAAUAAGUAUUAUUAUUAUUAUUAUUAUUAUUAUUAUUAUUA
RNAcentral lists this long non-coding RNA (9696 nucleotides) under Homo sapiens (human). RNAcentral describes it as "non-protein coding LINC01776:22". The record is from RNAcentral. Lineage: Eukaryota; Metazoa; Chordata; Mammalia; Primates; Hominidae.